GACGAACGCUGGCGGCGUGCCUAAUACAUGCAAGUAGAACGCUGAAGGAGGAGCCUGCUUCUCUGGAUGAGUUGCGAACGGGUGAGUAACGCGUAGGUAACCUGCCGGGUAGCGGGGGAUAACUAUUGGAAACGAUAGCUAAUACCGCAUAAGAGUAGAUGUUGCAUGACAUUUACUUAAAAGGUGCAAUUGCAUCACUACCAGAUGGACCUGCGUUGUAUUAGCUAGUUGGUGAGGUAACGGCUCACCAAGGCAACGAUACAUAGCCGACCUGAGAGGGUGAUCGGCCACACUGGGACUGAGACACGGCCCAGACUCCUACGGGAGGCAGCAGUAGGGAAUCUUCGGCAAUGGACGGAAGUCUGACCGAGCAACGCCGCGUGAGUGAAGAAGGUUUUCGGAUCGUAAAGCUCUGUUGUAAGAGAAGAACGAGUGUGAGAGUGGAAAGUUCACACUGUGACGGUAUCUUACCAGAAAGGGACGGCUAACUACGUG
This 495-nucleotide ribosomal RNA is filed under the name uncultured bacterium. Its description in RNAcentral is "partial 16S ribosomal RNA". It matches the Rfam family "Bacterial small subunit ribosomal RNA", at positions 28 to 507 of the family's 1533-position model. The record is from RNAcentral.